Molecule: ribosomal RNA, 256 nt
Filed under: uncultured bacterium
Lineage: Bacteria
Description: partial 16S ribosomal RNA
Rfam family: Bacterial small subunit ribosomal RNA
Source: RNAcentral
UACAGAGGGUGCAAGCGUUUAAUCGGAAUUACUGGGGCGUAAAGCGUGCGCAGGCGGUUUGUUAAGACAGAUGUGAAAUCCCCGGGCUUAACCCUGGGAACUGCAUUUGUGACUGGCAAGCUAGAGUAUGGCAGAGGGGGGUAGAAUUCCACGUGUAGCAGUGAAAUGCGUAGAGAUGUGGAGGAAUACCGAUGGCGAAGGCAGCCCCCUGGGCCAAUACUGACGCUCAUGCACGAAAGCGUGGGGAGCAAACAGG